This is a long non-coding RNA of Rhododendron vialii, 2996 nucleotides long. RefSeq lists it as uncharacterized. The record is from RefSeq and is a predicted model, not a curated record. Lineage: Eukaryota; Viridiplantae; Streptophyta; Magnoliopsida; Ericales; Ericaceae. The transcript has 2 exons.
GUGUCGCAUCCUCCGUUAUUUAAAGUGUGCCCCCGGCUGUGGGUUGUUGUAUUGCCCCUCUCCUACCUUGUCUGUGAUUGGCUUUAGUGAUGCUGAUUGGGCUGGGAGUCAUUUCGAUCAGCGUUCUACUUCUGGGUAUUGCACCUUCGUUGGCGACAAUCUUGUCACUUGGCGUAAUAAAAAACAGCAUGUUGUUGCCCGUUCUAGUGCUAAAGCAGAGUACCGUGCUAUGGCUCAUACUGCUUCCGAAAUGAUGUGGGUUCAUUCUCUUCUUGCUGACUUUGGGAUCACUGUUCCUAGUCCUAUGCAGAUGUUUUGUGAUAAUCAGGCUACCAUCUUUAUUGCUAGCAACCCCGUUUUCCAUGAGGGAAGCAAGCAUAUAGAGGUUGACUGUCACUUUAUUCGGGAUUUAAUACUGUAGAAGCACAUUGUCACUCCGUAUGUUCGCUUUGAAGACCAACUAGGUGAUAUUCUUUCGAAGCCUUUAUCUCGUUCUUGUUUCGGACAAUUGAUCAUCAAGCUGGGCAUGUUCGACAUCUAUGCUCCAGCUUGAGGGGGAGUGUUGAAGAAUGUCCUUAUUUGCUUCAUUUAUUUCUUAACUCUAUUUAUUUUAUUUAGGGUAUUCUUGUAAUUCUCUUCCUAUUUUGAUAUAAGUAUAUUGUGGAGUGUGGAUGCUAGUUAACGCUUCUACCUCUUUUGCGUUCUUUUCUCUCUCUUCCUCCUCCUUCCAUUCUUUUCUACAAACCCUAAAUUCAUAUUAUAUCAUUCAACUCAUGCAUUAAGGUCCAAUAUAUUGGAAACACAAACAUAUUGGCUGUUUGAGGGGCAAUACGAUUUUUCCUUGAAGAGGUAGCCCAAUGAGGACAGGAACAAGGCAAGAGCGGGACUAGCACAAUGACAAUCUUUUCGUAAAGAUUCAUACCUAAAGAACCCAAAAAUCCACAUCUAGGAGAGGUAAUAUCAUUCUAUUUCAUAAGCUAAUCCAAAUAAUAUCCAUAGUCCUACAAAUAGGUUCCUCUAAACCACAACAAUAAAACAAAGAUAAGAACAACCUAACUAUUUUCUGAAUCCAUAAAGUCUUGGGUAAGAAAUAAAUCUAACAAUCACUAAAUAAUAUAUUUUCUACCGGUAAAAUAACAUAUUGGUGACUAUAUAUGUAACUUCAUCGUAUAAUUAAUAAAAACAAGUGUGUUUAUACAAAAAGAUGGUUUGAAAAUUAAACACUUCAAAAAAUAGAUCAAACAAAUAUCCGCAUAAAGCUAACUGAUGGUAUGGAACUGGGGGAUGGAGAUGUCUGCUAGGGAUCAGGAGUAGUAUUUAAUAAGAUUUAGGAGGCAAGGGAUGAGGGGGAGGGAACUUUCCCUCCAAAAUGAAGGGUAAAUGUGACAUAAAACAUUUAAUUUGAAUGGACGUAGCAAAGUUCCAUCCAAAAUGCGGACGGAAGGGUGUCAAGUGAUACCAAUUGAUAGAUGAGGGGGUGUGGUUGAUCGGUUUUAAAGAUAAAGGGUUUUAAGUGAUAGCGAGUACAAGAUGAGGGGGUCUAAGUGAUUUUUACCCUAAUUUCAAUGUUUAGUAGCCUUGUUUGGUUGUUGGUAUUAUAUUAACAAUUUAUCUUUUGUCCUAUGUCAUGCAAUUUGUCUUUUGUAAUUGUAGUGUUAGAACCUACUAGUUUUGGUUGUUUUGGGUACAAUAUUAAUAAGAAUUACAACUAAAAACACGUAAAAGUAAUACCUAUAUCUUUUCUUCCUUGUCCAUGUCCCUGCUUCUUAGUUUCGGAUGUAUGGGGAAUCGGGGUAUAACUUUUGAUUUCAAAAGGUUUUCCAUCAGUACGCGGAGGCUACACUGCUACAGAUGAGUGAGGUCAUCAACAUGAGAACUGGUGAAUGUUGCGGAUGACGUAGGAGCCAACUCGUUGAUCAUACUCUUGUGAACCAUACACUUGAGAGAUCAAGGCAAAUGAUGGCCUGCUGGUUUGUCUUCACCCUUUAUCGCCUUUCACAAUGGCCCACAGAUGAAAACCAAAGAAGUUGUAAGAGAAAUGUGGAAUAGGAAGACCGGCAAGAGGACGGACUCUACUACCCCCUCUUCAGCUUCACAAACUGGCACCAGACCAACAACGGAAAUCCAACAUCUUCAGCCUCACAACCUCACACAGUGGGGACGAUGGAAACCCAAAAGAGUGAAAAGUUCAUGGAAAUGUGGACUUUUCAUUGUACUUCCACAUAGAGACAUUCUAAUCUGGUUUGGGGUAGCAUUUUGUGGAAGAUUGCGUUGGCAGACCACUGCUGCAUUUGUGACAGAAAUUGAAUGCAUUUGUGCUCACAGGCCAGGGAAUUUUCUUGCUCUAAUAUUGUUUAGAAGCUGUCACUAGCUGCUACCAAUUGUUGGCUGUGGAAGGAAACGAAUAGCAGGCAGUUCCAGAGGAAAGAGAUAACAACAGAGGCCUUGAGUUUUCUGAUUGAGGAUGAGAUUAGAGCUAGCAUUUGCUCUGGAAGGUGAAGCUGACAGAUGAUAAUAGACAUUUGGUUAGAAAGUGGAGGCUAUUGUGCAUACUGAUGCUCUGGACUAUCAAUGAAGGAAGCAUGGUAAUGUGCACAGAAAUUAAAUUGGGUUUCUAAGCCUGCCCUCUCUGAUGUUAUUUGGCUUUGAUUAGUGGGCAUGGUUCCACAGCAAAACAGGUAUAGGAGGGCCAUUGUUUCAGUGGUAUUCUGAGAGCAGUCACUUUGUGCAUAUUGUCAAAGGUUAUGUCUGUCUCCAAUCCUCCCCCGCCCAUACCCCCAAUGAUUGGGGACAAUAUGGGUUCUGUUGUUGUUAGAAAAUGGAGGCUACCAGGCAGAAUUUUAAUAGUUUGAUUUCCUUAUUCCAGUCAUGGUUGGUUUUCUUUUGCUCUGGUGCAGCAAUGUCGCUUGCUGUUUUGUCUGAAGUGUAGACUUGGUUAGUUGUAUUGUAUGGGCUCUGACCCCUGGAUUCUAGUUUAUUUGCUUAUAAGAAAUUAA